UGAAAGGUGACCCUUCUGAAUCCAGUGUCAGCAGACUAGCAUGGCUGUCCAGAUCACAGAAAUGAAGAGAAUCAGACUACCCACCUUGGAUUCUGAUAUGAAAGAUUUAGGAUAAAAGAGCUACUCCAUCAGCCUGGAAAGAUGACUCACUGGCAAACUCUUAGAUAAAGCUAAACUUCACACCAAACUGCAAGAGAGUCUAAGAAUGAAGAGAAAACUGCUUUGGCAAGCAACUACCUAGUCUCUGACACAGUCCACCUUUUUGGUCAGCCAAUAUCCAGCUCCGCCUUGUCUUCUUACACAAAGCCCAGGCAAAGCCCAGGAUUGCUAACUGUUGUACAAACCUGUUGGUCAGGCCUAGAUGGAAGCUUUCAACCCCAUUUCAAGUCAGCUGGCUUAUCCAACCCUGAAAGGUCUGUGAUCUCUCAGUUCUUUUUAUAAACAGGCCUCUGCUUGCAAAUGGCCAAUUCUUGCCUGAGCUCAUCUCUUUCUUGUAAUACUUUAUGAAAGGCAGCCAGUAGUAACUAAUGCAUAAAUUUUUCCAACCAACUGGCCCAAAGGUCAGUAGACCUUUUUACCAAAUGUUUCGCAAUGUAUAGCAUGAAUCUCCAUCUUUCUCCUCUCUGUUAUCAGGUUCCUCAGUGCCCAACCAUUAUGUCAAUGCCUUUUACCUUAAUUUUUUUCUUAUGGCAACAUUUUCUUCUGGAAUUAUUUCUGUACUGUAGCAAAUGCCCUAAACUGUGUAAAACAGUUUGAAGACACUAUUUUUUUUUCUAUUUUUAUCAUUUGUUCCUCGGUCUACUCAAUACGCUCCCUGCUUAAAACUCCCCUAGUGAUUUUCUGUUGGGUUUAAAAUAGAGUCUAAACUCUUUACCAUGGAUUACAAGCUUCUCUGUUAACUGGUUGUAACCUGCAUUUCCAGCCUCCUUUGGCGCCACUCUUGUCCCACCAACUAUAUCACAUUUCCUUUGGAACAUUUUCUGCUUCUUGAACUUGCCCAGGUCCUUGCUGUUAGCUGGUCCCUUUGCCUAUGAUGAUCUUCCUUCUUAGCAUCACUUGAACUGCAAAAAAUAAAAAAUGAAACAAAA
Molecule: long non-coding RNA, 1088 nt
Filed under: Homo sapiens (human)
Lineage: Eukaryota; Metazoa; Chordata; Mammalia; Primates; Hominidae
Description: HSALNT0383321
Source: RNAcentral